Molecule: microRNA precursor, 83 nt
Filed under: Caenorhabditis elegans
Lineage: Eukaryota; Metazoa; Nematoda; Chromadorea; Rhabditida; Rhabditidae
Description: mir-266 microRNA precursor family
Rfam family: mir-266 microRNA precursor family
Source: Rfam by way of RNAcentral
GGGCAAAGGUUAGGCAAGACUUUGGCGAAACUUGGAUUCAGGCAAUAUCAAAGUUUAACUCAAGUUUCACCCAACUCUUGCUA